UUGGGGUAUAGUGUAACGGCAGCACGACUGACUCUGGCUCAGUUAGUUGGGGUUCGAAUCCCUGUACCCCAGU
This 73-nucleotide transfer RNA is filed under the name Sedimentisphaera cyanobacteriorum. RNAcentral describes it as "tRNA-Gln". It matches the Rfam family "tRNA". Rfam says of the family: Transfer RNA (tRNA) molecules are approximately 80 nucleotides in length. Lineage: Bacteria; Pseudomonadati; Planctomycetota; Phycisphaerae; Sedimentisphaerales; Sedimentisphaeraceae. The record is from RNAcentral. RNAcentral also lists the same sequence under 1 other name.